CCCAGCUGUAGGCAACUGUCUAGGUUGCCUUGUACCUAGGCAAGUGUUACAGUGCUGGGAGAAAAGCAGCCAAUAGCUGGCAGGGAUUCUGGGGCCGGUUAAUGCCAACACU
RNAcentral lists this small nucleolar RNA (112 nucleotides) under Ochotona princeps (American pika). Its description in RNAcentral is "Small nucleolar RNA SNORA74 (ENSOPRG00000023598.1)". Lineage: Eukaryota; Metazoa; Chordata; Mammalia; Lagomorpha; Ochotonidae. The record is from RNAcentral.